CCUACGGGAGGCAGCAGUAAGGAAUAUUGGUCAAUGGACGAAAGUCUGAACCAGCCAUGCCGCGUGAAGGAUGACGGCCCUCUGGGUUGUAAACUUCUUUUAUCUGGGACGAAAAAAGGGAAUUCUUUCUCACUUGACGGUACCAGAGGAAUAAGCACCGGCUAACUCCGUGCCAGCAGCCGCGGUAAUACGGAGGGUGCAAGCGUUAUCCGGAUUCACUGGGUUUAAAGGGAGCGUAGGUGGGCAGGUAAGUCAGUGGUGAAAUCUCCGGGCUUAACCCGGAAACUGCCAUUGAUACUAUUUGUCUUGAAUUAUCUGGAGGUAAGCGGAAUAUGUCAUGUAGCGGUGAAAUGCUUAGAUAUGACAUAGAACACCCAUUGCGAAGGCAGCUUACUACGGAUAUAUUGACACUGAGGCUCGAAAGCGUGGGGAUCAAACAGGAUUAGAUACCCUGGUAGUCCACGCCCUAAACGAUGGAUACUCGACAUCAGCGAUACACUGUUGGUGUCUGAGCGAAAGCAUUAAGUAUCCCACCUGGGAAGUACGACCGCAAGGUUGAAACGUCAAAUGAAUUGACGG
RNAcentral lists this ribosomal RNA (579 nucleotides) under uncultured bacterium. RNAcentral describes it as "bacterial SSU rRNA". It matches the Rfam family "Bacterial small subunit ribosomal RNA", at positions 338 to 916 of the family's 1533-position model. The record is from RNAcentral.